This 74-nucleotide transfer RNA is filed under the name Bacteroidales bacterium. Its description in RNAcentral is "tRNA-His". It matches the Rfam family "tRNA". Rfam says of the family: Transfer RNA (tRNA) molecules are approximately 80 nucleotides in length. Their secondary structure includes four short double-helical elements and three loops (D, anti-codon, and T loops). The record is from RNAcentral. Lineage: Bacteria; Pseudomonadati; Bacteroidota; Bacteroidia; Bacteroidales.
GGUCGACGUAGCUUAAUGGUUGAGCACCGGGUUGUGGGUCCGGGUGGUGUUGGUUCGAUUCCAAUCGUCUACCG